RNAcentral lists this ribosomal RNA (1428 nucleotides) under Dendropsophus yaracuyanus. RNAcentral's name for it is "partial 16S ribosomal RNA". It matches the Rfam family "Bacterial large subunit ribosomal RNA", at positions 157 to 2597 of the family's 2925-position model. The record is from RNAcentral. Lineage: Eukaryota; Metazoa; Chordata; Amphibia; Anura; Hylidae.
GCUAAAAAUCUAGCCCCACUAAACUAAAUUAAACAAUUUAAUAUUCAACUGAAACUAAAACAUUUACUAUACCCCAGUAAAGGCGAUUGAAAAGUUAAUUAGCGCUAUAACGAAAGUCCCGCAAGGAAAAGAUGAAAUAAAAAUGAAAUAAAUGUUCAGCACAAAAAAGCAGAGCUAACCCCUCGUACCUUUUGCAUCAUGGUUUAACUAGUAUAACCCAGCAAAAAGUAUUAAAGUUUGGCCCCCCGAAACUAAACGAGCUACUUCGGGGCAGCUUUAUGAGCCCACCCGUCUCUGUUGCAAAAGAGUGGGAUGACCCCCAAGUAGCGGUGACAGACCUAACGAGUUUAGUGAUAGCUGGUUACUUAAGAAAAGGAUUUAAGUCCUGCCUAAAACACCUCUAAUUUAUUUAAAAUAACUUACAUGUUUUAGAAACACUCAAAUGAGGUACAGCCCGCUUGAGAUAAGGAUACAACCUAUGCCAAUGGGUAACCUUUCACCUAUAUAAUAACCAAGUGGGCCUAAAAGCAGCCACCUUUUAAAAAGCGUCAAAGCUUAUUUUUAUUAUCCCUUAAUACCACAUACAUAUCAGAACCCUUCACCACUAUUAAGUAAUUCUAUAUAAAUAUAGAAGAUAUAAUGUUAAAACUAGUAACAAGAAGUAGACCUUCUCUUAAAUGUAAGUGUAAAUCAGUAAGGACUAACCACUGAUAAUUAAACACCAAUGAGUAUAGAACAACAACGCACUUAGAAAACCCUGUUUUAUUUUACGUUAAUCUAACACAAGAACAUUACAAGAAAGAUUUAAAGAAAAAGAAGGAACUCGGCAAAUAUUAACCUCGCCUGUUUACCAAAAACAUCGCCUCUUGUCUAAAUAUAAGAGGUCCAGCCUGCCCAGUGACCUAGUUCAACGGCCGCGGUAUCCUAACCGUGCGAAGGUAGCAUGAUCACUUGUUCUUUAAAUGAGGACUCGUAUGAACGGCACCACGAGGGUUAUACUGUCUCCUUUUUCUAAUCAGUGAAACUGUUCUCCCCGUGAAGAAGCGGGGAUGAAGAUAUAAGACGAGAAGACCCUAUGGAGCUUUAAACUACUAAGACACUGGCUUAUCCAUUUUAUGUUUCAGAACCACAAUACUUAUAUUAGCCUAAAUGCCUGCUAGUUUUAGGUUGGGGUGACCGCGGAGCAAAAAUCAACCUCCACAUUGAAAGGGAUUAACCCUGAAUUUAGAGCAACAACCCUAAAUACCAACAAAUUGACAUCCAUUGACCCAACAUUUUGAUCAACGAACCAAGUUACCCUAGGGAUAACAGCGCAAUCCGCUUCAAGAGCCCAUAUCGACAAGCGGGUUUACGACCUCGAUGUUGGAUCAGGGUCUCCCAGUGGUGCAGCCGCUACUAAUGGUUCGUUUGUUCAACGAUUAAAACCCU